RNAcentral lists this ribosomal RNA (484 nucleotides) under uncultured bacterium. RNAcentral's name for it is "partial 16S ribosomal RNA". It matches the Rfam family "Bacterial small subunit ribosomal RNA", at positions 30 to 507 of the family's 1533-position model. The record is from RNAcentral.
AUUGAACGCUGGCGGCAGGCCUAACACAUGCCAGUCGAGCGGAUGAAGGGAGCUUGCUCCUGUAUUCAGCGGCGGACGGGUGAGUAAUUCCUAGGAAUCUGCCUGGUAUUUGGGGAUAACGUCCGGACACGGGCGCUAAUCCCGCAUACGUCCUUAUGUAGAACGUGGGGGAUCUUCGGACCUCACGCUAUCAGAUGAGCCUAGGUCGGAUUAGCUAGUUGGUGAGGUAAAGGCCUACCAAGGCGACGAUCCGUAACUGGUCUGAGAGGAUGAUCAGUCACACUGGAACUGAGACACGGUCCAGACUCCUAAGGGAGGCAGCAGUGGGGAAUAUUGGACAAUGGGCGAAAGCCUGAUCCAGCCAUGCCGCGUGUGUGAAGAAGGUCUUCGGAUUGUAAAGCACUUUAAGUUGGGAGGAAGGGAAGUAAGUUAAUACCUGGCUGUUUUGACGUUACCAACAGAAUAAGCACCGGCUAACUUCGUG